UACGUAGGGACCAAGCGUUGUUCGGAUUUACUGGGCGUAAAGGGCGCGUAGGCGGCUUGACAAGUCACUUGUGAAAUCUCCGGGCUUAACUCGGAACGGCCAAGUGAAACUGUUGAGCUAGAGUGUAGAAGGGGCAAUCGGAAUUCUUGGUGUAGCGGUGAAAUGCGUAGAUAUCAGGAGGAACACCGGUGGCGAAGGCGGCCCUCUGGACGGAUACUGACGCUGAGGCGCGAAAGCUAGGGGAGCGAACAGG
RNAcentral lists this ribosomal RNA (253 nucleotides) under uncultured bacterium. Its description in RNAcentral is "partial 16S ribosomal RNA". It matches the Rfam family "Bacterial small subunit ribosomal RNA", at positions 524 to 776 of the family's 1533-position model. The record is from RNAcentral.